GUCACGGUGGCCGCUUGAAUUACAAUUCCGAUCGAGCGGCGAGCUGAAUCCUUUGCAGACGACUUAAAUACGCGACGGGGUAUUGUAAGGGGUAGAGUGGCCUUGCUGCCACGAUCCUCUGAGAUUCAGCCUUUGUCGCUCCGAUUCGU
RNAcentral lists this non-coding RNA (149 nucleotides) under Ipomoea nil (Japanese morning glory). Its description in RNAcentral is "Eukaryotic large subunit ribosomal RNA". It matches the Rfam family "Eukaryotic large subunit ribosomal RNA", at positions 3253 to 3401 of the family's 3401-position model. The record is from Rfam by way of RNAcentral. Lineage: Eukaryota; Viridiplantae; Streptophyta; Magnoliopsida; Solanales; Convolvulaceae.